Molecule: small RNA, 2403 nt
Filed under: Serratia symbiotica
Lineage: Bacteria; Pseudomonadati; Pseudomonadota; Gammaproteobacteria; Enterobacterales; Yersiniaceae
Description: bacterial LSU rRNA
Rfam family: Bacterial small subunit ribosomal RNA (bases 1-1533)
Source: RNAcentral
AGUUUGAUCAUGGCUCAGAUUGAACGCUGGCGGCAGGCCUAACACAUGCAAGUCGAGCGGUAGCACAAGAGAGCUUGCUCUCUGGGUGACGAGCGGCGGACAGGUGAGUAAUGUCUGGGAAACUGCCCGAUGGCGGGGGAUAACUAGUGGAAACGGUAGCUAAUACCGCAUAACGUCGCAAGACCAAAGUGGGGGACCUUCGGGCCUCACGCCAUCAGAUGUGCCCAGGUGGGAUUAGCUGGUAGGUGGGGUAACGGCUCACCUAGGCGACGAUCCCUAGCUGGUCUGAGAGGAUGACCAGCCACACUGGAACUGAGACACGGUCCAGACUCCUACGGGAGGCAGCAGUGGGGAAUAUUGCACAAUGGGCGCAAGCCUGAUGCAGCCAUGCCGCGUGUGUGAAGAAGGCCUUCGGGUUGUAAAGCACUUUCAGCGAAGAGGAAGAGUAAUGUGCUAAUAAGACAUUGCAUUGACGUUACUCGCAGAAGAAGCACCGGCUAACUCCGUGCCAGCAGCCGCGGUAAUACGGAGGGUGCAAGCGUUAAUCGGAAUUACUGGGCGUAAAGCGCACGCAGGCGGUUUGUUAAGUCAGAUGUGAAAUCCCCGCGCUCAACGUGGGAACGGCAUUUGAGACUGGCAAGCUAGAGUCUUGUAGAGGGGGGUAGAAUUCCAGGUGUAGCGGUGAAAUGCGUAGAGAUCUGGAGGAAUACCGGUGGCGAAGGCGGCCCCCUGGACAAAGACUGACGCUCAGGUGCGAAAGCGUGGGGAGCAAACAGGAUUAGAUACCCUGGUAGUCCACGCUGUAAACGAUGUCGAUUUGGAGGUUGCGCCCUUGAGGGGUAGCUUCCGUAGCUAACGCGUUAAAUCGACCGCCUGGGGAGUACGGCCGCAAGGUUAAAACUCAAAUGAAUUGACGGGGGCCCGCACAAGCGGUGGAGCAUGUGGUUUAAUUCGAUGCAACGCGAAGAACCUUACCUACUCUUGACAUCCAGAGAACUUUCCAGAGACGGAGGGGUGCCUUCGGGAGCUCUGAGACAGGUGCUGCUCGGCUGUCGUCAGCUCGUGUUGUGAAAUGUUGGGUUAAGUCCCGCAACGAGCGUAACCCUUAUCCUUUGUUGCCAGCGAUAAAGUCGGGAACUCAAAGGAGACUGCCGGUGAUAAACCGGAGGAAGGCGGGGAUGACGUCAAGUCAUCAUGGCCCUUACGAGUAGGGCUACACACGUGCUACAAUGGCGUAUACAAAGAGAAGCGACCUCGCGAGAGCAAGCGGACCUCACAAAGUACGUCGUAGUCCGGAUUGGAGUCUGCAACUCGACUCCAUGAAGUCGGAAUCGCUAGUAAUCGUAGAUCAGAAUGCUGCGGUGAAUACGUUCCCGGGCCUUGUACACACCGCCCGUCACACCAUGGGGGUAGGUUGCAAAAGAAGUAGGUAGCUUAACCUUCGGGAGGGCGCUUACCACUUUGUGAUUCAUGACUGGGGUGAAGUCGUAACAAGGUAACCGUAGGGGAACCUGCGGUUGGAUCACCUCCUUACCGAAAGAUACUGAUUUGCGUGGCGUGCUCACACAGAUUGUCUGAUGAAAGUCAAUGAGCAAGAAAACCCUUUACACGGAAAUAGCCAAUCAGCGAUUUGCCAGGCAAUUUCUGUGUCCCCAUCGUCUAGAGGCCUAGGACACCGCCCUUUCACGGCUGUAACAGGGGUUCGAAUCCCCUUGGGGACGCCAUUGUGAUAAUGAGUGGAAGACAUUAUCACCGACUAUCUCAAAGCUGACUUGCGAGUCGGGUUUGAGAUAGUGCUCUUUAACAAUCUGGAACAAGCUGAAAAUUGAAAAAUGACGGCUGAAGCUUAUCCCUGCGUAGAGGUAUUGGGUAAGGGUCAAGCUGUCAUGGUGACACUCACCUUUUUGCAAUGCGAAGUGAGACACCUUCGGGUUGUAAGGUUAAGUGACUAAGCGUACACGGUGGAUGCCUAGGCAGUCAGAGGCGAUGAAGGGCGUGCUAAUCUGCGAAAAGCGCCGGUAAGGUGAUAUGAACCGUUAUAGCCGGCGAUAUCCGAAUGGGGAAACCCAGUGUGAUACAUCACACUAUCGUUAAGUGAAUACAUAGCUUGACGAAGCGAACCGGGGGAACUGAAACAUCUAAGUACCCCGAGGAAAAGAAAUCAACCGAGAUCCCCCCAGUAGCGGCGAGCGAACGGGGGCCAGCCCAGAACCUGAAUCAGCGGGUGUAUUAGUGGAAGCGUCUGGAAAGUCGCGCAGUAAAGGGUGAUAGCCCCGUACACAAAAAUGCACUGGCUGUGAGUUCGAUGAGUAGGGCGGGACACGUGACAUCCUGUCUGAAUAUGGGGGGACCAUCCUCCAAGGCUAAAUACUCCUGACUGACCGAUAGUGAACCAGUACCGUG